RNAcentral lists this ribosomal RNA (460 nucleotides) under uncultured bacterium. Its description in RNAcentral is "partial 16S ribosomal RNA". It matches the Rfam family "Bacterial small subunit ribosomal RNA", at positions 338 to 795 of the family's 1533-position model. The record is from RNAcentral.
CCUACGGGUGGCAGCAGUGAGGAAUAUUGGUCAAUGGGCGGGAGCCUGAACCAGCCAAGUCGCGUGAGGGAAGACGGUCCUAUGGAUUGUAAACCUCUUUAAGCCGGGAGCCAUGCCGGGCACGUGUGCCCGUUUGGAGGGUACGCGAGGAAUAAGCAUCGGCUAACUCCGUGCCAGCAGCCGCGGUACAACGGAGGAUCCGACGGUUAUCCGGUUUUAUUGGUUUUAAGGGAUGCGUCGGCGGAUUUUUAAGUCAGCGGGAAAAUGUCCGGGAUAAACCCGGCACGGCCGUGGAAACUGGGGAGCUUGAGUGGGCGAGAAGUAUGCGGAAUGCGUGGUGUAGCGGUGAAAUGCAUAGAUAUCACGCAGAACUCCGAUUGCGAAGGCAGCAUACCGGCGCCUGACUGACGCUGAGGCACGAAGGCGUGGGGAUCGAACAGGAUUAGAUACCCGUGUAGUC